RNAcentral lists this long non-coding RNA (7912 nucleotides) under Brassica napus (rape). Its description in RNAcentral is "long non-coding RNA (BNAP_LNC016803)". The record is from RNAcentral. Lineage: Eukaryota; Viridiplantae; Streptophyta; Magnoliopsida; Brassicales; Brassicaceae.
UCUGUUUGAAAGCUUAAGAACCAAUGGGCCAAACAUUCGCCACAAACAUCUCUGACACUCCAAUGGCAUCUCUAGAUUGGAGUUUCGAACCAGCGGAAACAAAGGGGAUACAAAUGCAAACAAGGUUCCUUUGUUUAUUACUAAGCCUUGUGGUCUUUAGCCAAUUCAUCCACGUCAAGUUCUACCGCCAAGAGUGGAGAAUCCUCUUCCAUGGCAAGCUCACUGAUACACAGAUAAUAUUCUUUUGUGCUUAGUAAGAUAAAAAAAUAACAGAGGAUGGUAUCUUCUCUUUUACCUGUUACUAACUGGACCAUGAUCAACGGCUGUCCUCAGACAAUAUAUAGCUCUUCCUACUAUGUCCGCCAUUGAGACCGGACCAAAUGUUCGACUAUCGUAUGCUUCCUAUCAAACACCAUUGGGUGGACAAAGUUAACAGACCAAAUUAUACAGAGAUUCAGUUUUUUUUUUUCUUUCGUAUGCAAUAGUGUACCUUAGAUUUCAUCUCUUGGUUCUCAGCAACGACCCAGCACUGAUCCUUUUCGAGAACAAAAGGCUCCUCCUUCUCAUCAAUAGAUACCAUUUCGGAUCCUUCUAAAGCUGCCAGUCUUCUCACUAGAAACUUAUCAGUUUCAUUCGGGUCCUUCAACACAACAGCAUCUCCAACGAAAACAUACCUAGACAACAAAAAAACAAUGAAAUCCAAAUGGGCAUCACUAGUAAUCUUUACACACUGAAACUAGCCAGAGGCUGCAAACUAAAAGGAUUCAAUUGGUGUUUGGAUUCAACAAUAUCUCAUCACAGUAAGUAGACAUACCUACUAUACAAUUUAUCAUAAGUAGACAUUUGACCCUUAAUGCCUAGAAACAUACCUUGUAUCGACAACAGGUAGCUUACGGACAAGUAGUGUGUUGUCAUGAGCUCCCAUGGUUGGGGACAUCUCUUGUCCUUUACCAGAGUGCAAGUAUGUUAUCCUUCCAUAGAGUAGAUUCUUCAGGACAUUUUCAGUUUACUAAUGUAGACUAUCAAAUAGGUCUACUAUUUGGGUUAGUUUUUGCAAUUGAAAAUUUUACGGGUUACUUUCUAUAUUUGUAAAAAAGUUGUGAUUUUAUACAUGUAGACUUCCAUUUCAGUCUACACUUCAAAAUAGUUAGUUUUUUCAAUUGACCAAAAUUCACCCAUAAUUUGACUUUCGGAAAUAGACUUCAUAUGCAGUCUACAUUUUUGAUUUUUUUAAAAGAGGUUAAUUUUGCAAUUGACCAAGUUUGACUUUCUACGAGUAAAUGAAAACGGACAUCUACAUAUUUUUAGACUUCGUUUGAAGUCUACUCUCAAAUUCGACGGGUUAGUUUUGCAUUUGACCAAAAUAAAAUAGUAGACUUCACAUGUAGUCUACUUUUUUUUCUAAGUUAAGAAGACUGCAAAUGAAGUCUUCAGUUUAAUAAAAUUUUAAUUAAUUUUUAAACUUUUUAGUCAAACACAAAAGUAACCUAUUCAACGAAGUCAAAGUUUUGAUCAAAUGCAAAACUGACAUUAUGCAAACUUCUCUGGCAGUCUACACUUCGUAGACUUCCGUUGAAGUUCGGUCAAAUGCAAAACUAACCUCUUUUACAUAGACGUCUUAGUAAGUCCACCUAAAUUUUUGUUUUUGUUGUCAAAGAUAAAGACGAAGACUGCCGGGGAAGUCUGCGGUACAAAAAAAAAUUCGUUUGGUCAAAUGCAAAACUGACAUGUGCGUUGACAAGUAGACUGUAUCGUACGUCUGCAUAUAGGCGUAGACAUACAAAACAAUCUACUAUCUCGACACAGAUCUGAAAAAUGAUGAAAACCAUGUAAAUAAUAAUCUUUUUCUGGUGUAAAGCUCGUUUCCAACCUUCUCAACCGUCCAAACUCCAAAUAUGAACAAAAAGAACCGCCUUUAACAAUUCACUAAUGAAAAAACUUUAAAAUAUGAAGUUUGUGUUUAUGAAAAUGAAAGCUAUGAGAGUUUUUUAGAUGGAAAUGUAGAAGAAAUGAGAGGAAAUGAAGAUUUGUUGGUUUAGAAUGAAAAAAGUGGUUAAAAAUUGAAUUCUAGAGUUUUAAGAGCUCAAAAAUGGUGGUUCAUGAUGGUUGGAAAAAUUGAUGAUAGUGGCAUUAUUGUAAAUAAGAAGAAAUGGUGUGGGUGUAUUUGUUUUUUUUUUGUGAAUUCGAAAUUAAUAAAAAACUAAAUAAUAAUGUCAAUUUUGUAAAUAAUUCAAAAACAUAGGGAUAAUAUAGAAAAUUCAUUGAUGAAUAGUAAUGACAAAAAAAGAGGUUAGUUUUGGGUUUGACUUGAAAAUAUGGGUUGGUUUUGAAAAACUCCCUUUAAAAUUGGGCUUAUUUGCCAACUAGCCAUAUUUUAACAACAAAUUAAGAAUAUAGCAAUGAUUUUGAUAUUAUAAUAUCUUCUAACAUUUGUGCAAUAUUUUCUCGGUUUUGUCUUUCUUUUGAUCCGGUUGCCAAUAAUAAAAGAAAAAAAUUGUGAUCGACAAAUAUAUGGUGAAAAUUACAGUGGAAGGAGAAUGGUUACAAUGAAAACAACGUUGAUGAUUAUUGUGGCAGUGAUGGCGGUGAUUACAGUAGAAGUUAUUACAUAUGAAACAUAUGUCGUUAAUCCAAAAGAAACAGUCAUCUUUCAAACAAAGAUUACUACGAUGGUUGUCAUCUUAUAACUGCGAUGAUUGGAGAAAGAGACAAAGUUACAGAGGAAGAUAUCAGAGUAAAUAGAAUAGAACAUUCUAAAUGAUAUAGUUCAUAUUAAUGGAAUUUUAAAAUAGUUUAAUAAUUGUGGAGGCAACGCUUAUUCCAAUAUCAACCCAUAUUUUCCAUAAACUAAAUCUAAAACACUAAUCAGUAAAACCUAAAAAAAAAUAUAAACCCUAACCCAAAUAUCAAAAACCAACUCAAAUAUUAAAAUAUGCAAAUAUAAUAGUAACCAAUUAAUAGCAUAGUACAUAUUGUUCAAAUUUUAAAUUGUCUAUGAUUAUAGGGAAUGAGGUAAUGCUUACCCCAAUAACUCAAACCUUCUAUAAAUUAAGAGUAAAAACACUAAUCACUAAACACUUAAAAGAAAUAUAAAUCCUAACCCAAAUAUCAAAUAUGGACAUAAUACAUAAUAUGAAACAUUACCAAAAUAGAGUAGUAACAAACAAAAUAACAUAGUACGUAUUAAUGUUUACAUUUUGAAAUGUCUAUUAUUACAGAGAAAGAGGUAAAGCUUACCCUAAAUUAACCCAAACCUUCCAUAAACUAAACCAAAAACACUAAUCACUAAACCCUAAAAAGAAAUAUAAACCUUAACCCAAAUAUUAAAAUAUGCACAUAGUACAUAAUAUGAACAAUUAUUAAAAUAGAAUAGUAACAAACGAUAUAGCGUAGUACGUUCAAAUAACAUAGUACAACCGAGAACUUACGGGACAAACAAGGACGCUUCGACCGUAACGUCGCCAUGGUCCGUAGAUUUUAGAAGCAGAGACGAGAUAUGUAGCAAAGAGUAUGGAUUAUUAGGAGGUGGUUGUGGUGACUAUGGUGAUGGUGGCUCAAUGAUGAAUGUUAGUAUGAACGAAGAGAUCAUGAUUAUGAAAAAAAUGAUAUUGAUUAUAAAAAAAGUGGUGAUUAAGGAGACGAUAAAUACAAAACACAGUGUGGAGUUUGUGAUGAUCGUAUUUGUAAUGUUGACGGAAGGUAAAGUGGUGGAGAUGGAAGAAGAAGGGUGGUAGUUGAGAAGAAGAAGAAGAAUAUAUUUUUCUCUUUCAUUAACCGGAAACUAAAGGCAAUAUAGUAUAUAUUUCACAAAUAAUAGAGGUACUUUUUUUUGGUUAGAUAUUUAAUGGAAAAAUUGGCAAUACAGAACAACUAAACUAAAGUAUUGUCCCCUUAGAAUAAAAUCAAGUUUUGUUACUUUUGGACAUUCACUACUCUUUUUGUAUAUAAAAAUUCAUAUCAAUUUUUUAGAAUGCAAAAAAAUCUGGAAAAUUGUAUAUUUGAUGUAGAUAAGCAACUGCAUAUAAGAAAAAUAAUCUGGAUUCAAAAAAUGUUUGAAUAGUAAUUUCAAAAAUGGGGUAAAGGUGUUAGAAAAUCAGAUCUACCAUCUACGGAGGUUUAGAAUAUAUAAUCUAACAAAGAUAAAGUGAUCUACCAAUCGUAGAAUGCACAAUACAUCGAAAACAUUAACAACUACUAGGGAAGAAUAUAAAAAAAAUCCUCAUUCCCUCUAUGCUCUACAUAACUGGUAGAUUUAAUGCGCUACAGAAAUUAAUUAAUCUACUAUGGUAUGAAAUGCAUUAUUCGAAUUAUCUUUUUGUCUACAUUGGUGGUAUACAAUAUUCUGCCAGACCUUCUAAUUUCCAAACAGAUAGAAUGCAAAUUCUACCUAAUAAAAUUACAAAAUCCGAAAAUCUAGCAAAAAACGGUCAGAGUAUUCAGUAAAUCUUUUAAAUGUUUUGUUAUUUCCUUUUUUAAUUUUUUUUUUCUAAAAUCUAGUCUUCUUCUUCAACAUAGCACGAUUUCUGAAAUUAAACGUGGAAGUUGUUCUUCAAUCGAUGGUUCUCAAAGAGGAAAGACGACAGAAGGAGGACGACGGAGAGACGUGACGACGAUAUCGUCGUCUCCGGCGAACAUAGACGGCCAAGAGAAAGAAAGUGUCGACGGCGACGAAAUGAAAUCGCCUCUGCUUUUAGAAACGGGCGUCGGAGACGAAGAAAGUUGUGUUUUUUUACUGCUUAUGUUUCGUUUUUACUUCUUACUAUUAAUUGUAUUUUACUAAAAAAGGACAAAACAUGUUUUUCAUAUUUUUGUUCUAAUGAGACAAAGAUUGAGUUUUUUAUUCUAAGGAGACAAAAGUAUACUUCUUUUGUUUCUUAUCGGCAAAAAUUCCAUAUUUAAUUAUGGUUUUUUUUGUAGCUAUACAAUCCAAUUUCCUCAAUAGAUUUGGAGUUAUCAAGGUGGUGGUAUAACGUACACUUUUUUUUUUUUGGAUAACAUUGGUGUGAUUCCAAAGGUUUGCUAUAGCAUACACUUAGGUUGAUGUAUAUGUUAGUAUGUGAUACUCAUGCUCCAAUAUGUAUAUGAAAUGAAUUUACAAAGUUAUAUGUAAAUGGCCAAAAUAUGAUAUUGCAUGAGUUUUUAACGUGAUGAUUUUGAAAAAGAAAACAUAACCUAAAAAGCACCAUUAUCAGUGAUCCAGCGAUGACUCCACUAUAGCAAUUGUAUGAUCACCAUUAACUGAAUUGAACCAGUAAUGAUUCUUUAUAGAACAUAAUUAAUAUUAUUGAUUUUAAAAAAUAUAAUAUAUAUGCAGAAAUCAUUGUGCUACUAUCUGGAUUUGAAUCAUAAUGUAUAUUAUUGACCAAAAAACAUUGAUUCAAAUCCAUAUGUGUUAUGUUAUUAACAAACAUAAAACCAAUGAGCAGUAUAAAAUGAUAAAAACGUGACUUACAAGUAGGGACAACUAACGAUUAAAGAAGGCAUGCAACCAGCCAGAAAAAUGGUGAUCAUGUUGAUUGGUUACACUGGCUAUGACCGGACCCACCUUGAGUAAGCCAUCAGCCGACUCCAAUUACAAUUUUGAUUUCAGUAUCCGACCCCUUCACAGAAAAGGCUUGGCUUAGAAUACAGUGCUUUCAAAUGACCCUUUGAUGUGAAGUGAGCCCAAACAUAUCAUCGCCAUAACACUAUCAGAGAACAAGCUUAGUUGUGCUUUAACAACAUUUCGAAGAUCUUCAAAAACCAAAGAUUAAAAUCUGAGUAAACAAAACAACAUGAUCACGGCCAGUAUUUUCAGGUAAAAAAAAAAAGAACACAGAAAUUAACUCAUUUCAACAUUGUCACUAACGAUAGUAAAUGUUCAUAUUAUUUGUUGAGUCUCUUUCACCGUCGAAUCAGAUGGAAUCACUACUAAGCAACUCCACGAGUUGGGCUUUCUUCAUCUUUGAAAACCCUUUUAGUCCCCUUGAUUUCGCUAUGCCUCUCAGUUCCAUCAACUUCAAUGUACUCAAGUCUUUAACAGGUUCUUCCUCUUCUUCAUCAGCAUCAUCCAGAGACUCCUCCUCCUCAUCAUCUGAUAACGCAUCUAAAGUAACAUUACCAUCCUCCUCUUGAUAAAAUGAUGAUGCGUCUAGCUGCAGCUCAGAUUCUGGUUCGAGAAUAGCUGUCACAGGCUCAGGUUCGUCUUCAGGUUCAUCACGCGGCUCUGCUGUAUCCUUCUUAUGGGUCCAAGUCACGCUGUAACUCGACGCCUCAUCAAAAGUUGCCUCAUUAGAAUAAGUCGGAGGAGGCGAUUCAAAUCUUGGUACUGGCGACUUUCUUCUGAAGCUUGACGCUGUCCUGGUAAAGGAUGAUGAUGCAUUAUGAUCUUUGGUCCAUGACUUGACAAGGUUUCCUCCUCCGCUGCGAUCUUGCCUCCUGUCCACAUGAUCUCCUUGUACCGAAUUGUCUCCAUGGCUGUUAAAAUUGUUAACUUUCUUGCUCUGCUCUCCCGAGUGCUUUCUUAGUAACUUAAGAAGAGAGUCAACAGUUUCACUUUCUUUACCCCGUCCUUUAGAAGCUUCUUCUUCUUCUUCUUGUGCCUUUUUAUCUUCCAUCUUGGUGGCUGCUCGAGCUCGGAGCUGAGCUUGAACUUUUCGGAAAAGCUCCACUAUCUCUUUCUCUCUAGGCCCAGGGGAUGAAGUAGCUUGGAACUUGGGGGAGUUAGACAGAGAGAGCAAAGACCCGUUUCUUGAAGACAACAUAUCAGAGUUAUCACCAUCAAAACCGUCUCCAUCUACGCUUUGCCUGUUUCUUCCAUGCUUAUUAAGCCUUGAGAAAUCAGGGUUUCUCCUGUAGCCACCAGAACUCGCUUGACAAACAAAAGAACUACUAUCUGGGGAACACUUCAGAGAUCCAUUACGUUUGUGAUCGAGACAAGAAGAAAAAGGUAAUGUAGCAGGUGUUCUUCUAUAAACAGCAGGGUUAUAAAAGCAUCUGCUGUCUGAAACUGAAACUGAGAGUGUGUAACCUGUGUUACAACAGCAAUGAAUAAAAAUUAUUUAUUUAUUUUGACAAAAGGGCUAGCAAUGAAGAAUUGUUACAAGUAAUAUUCCUACAGAAGCAUGUAAACAGUCUACACGAACACUGUCUAUUUUGUCUAUUUAACAAUCACACAGAAGCAUUUCGUCGAACAACUGGUGGACAUUUAGGAAAAAAUCUAACCGAUAACACAAAGAGAGACAUAACUUAACAACUAUCAACGACAUGUAAGAGACACAUAUAUAGGGUGCUAAAGUCGUACCAGGGACGUAGUUAGAGUUCAAACUGAAAGUUCCCGACAUCGCCGCCAAGAACAGCUUCGGAGCGAGAGCGAGAGAGAGAGAGAGAGAUUAAGCUUCCUCUUCUUCUACCCUCCUCUUCUUGGGCUUUAGAUUAUUUCAAAUUCCUAAAUGGGCUUUGUAAGUUUGGUUUUACAAAUUAGAUAUUCCACAAUCGGUUAAGAGAUUUUUCCAAACCGAGUUUCUUACCUUAACAGAACCGACUAAAUAAACCAAUCAAAAUCUCUUAACCAAAACCAAAAACAGAAUUAACAAAUGUCUUCUUAUUCGGUUCGGUUUAAAAACCAUGGUUUUGGAUUUCUCUGUUUCAUUAUAGAGGAAGAAGCUAACGAAGAGCUUUCUUCAACACUCUUCUCAACAAGGAUCUGUUUGAAAGCUUAAGAACCAAUGGGCCAAACAUUCGCCACAAACAUCUCUGACACUCCAAUGGCAUCUCUAGAUUGGAGUUUCGAACCAGCGGAAACAAAGGGGAUACAAAUGCAAACAAGGUUCCUUUGUUUAUUACUAAGCCUUGUGGUCUUUAGCCAAUUCAUCCACGUCAAGUUCUACCGCCAAGAGUGGAGAAUCCUCUUCCAUGGCAAGCUCACUGAUAC